RNA transcript from Camellia sinensis, 3168 nucleotides. It is a transcript of the gene named peroxisomal (S)-2-hydroxyacid oxidase GLO4, with no coding region annotated. Lineage: Eukaryota; Viridiplantae; Streptophyta; Magnoliopsida; Ericales; Theaceae. The record is from RefSeq and is a predicted model, not a curated record.
GAUUAGGCAGUAUUUUGUGUAGGCUAGUACCGAGCACUACCUCCACUCCACCUCUGCUUUCUGGUGAGCUCUCUCUGUCUCUCUCUGUUUUUGCAGUGUUUUUACUCUGAUUUCAGUCACGAUCAGUUCUAUUCAAACACGUUCAGGUACUAAUUUCAAUUCCCCCCACAAAAUCAUGUAUUUAUUUGUAUAGACAUAGCAAUUAUUUACUUGGAAUUCAGUCAACCCAGUGCAGAUUUUCCAUUGAAAUUAUUCAAAUUGUUUGCAGAUUAGUACCAAGAUUAACUUAGUUAAUAUACUCAUCUAAUCAUCAAACGAUCUGCUGUUUUUAUAUGAUUAUAAGCUUGCAGUUCAAUUCUAUUGUAUUGGGUCAAUUUUUUCUAUUUUAAUUAUUACCUUUUCAUUUUCAAAUUGAAGCCCUUUUAGUUUGGUACUAAUCUCUUUCCCAUAAAUGGAGAUGUUAAACAGAUUCAUGCUUUUAUAGUUGUAGAUAUUUUUAAAUUUUUUUUUCCUUUUAUAUAUAUUUUUGUGAGAUUGUUUGAAUUGCCAGGUACCGGUAUGUGUAAUUCUUUUUAUUUUUUUAAUUGAAGAAUUAUUUACACAUUGAAUCCAAAUAACAUGUUGAAAUCUUGUGAGUAUUUAAUGGUCCAAUAUAGUAUGGGAGCCACUAUUCCCACUUCACUUUGUUCUAAAUACACUCUCUUAUUUGCUCCAAAUACAUUAAUACCCUUGGAAUUUUGAUUUUUUCAGGGAGUUUAUUUUGUGUGAAAGUGUAUUAAUGUAACUAUGUAUAAUAAAAGACAAAGAAAGGAGUGUAUUUGGAGCAAAGUGGGGUGGGCAUAGCGGCUCCCUACAGUAAUCAGUUUAUUCUAAGAACUUGAUAUAUUUCGGCUUUGUUUGGAUCAUGAUAGGGGUAGGGAUUUGGAAAGAGAGAAAAGAGUGUGUGAAAUGUGGAUGAAAUAUGUAUUUGGAUCAUGGAUUUGAAAGGGAAAAAGAAAAAUAUGAGUGAAAUGUCAAUGAAAUAUAGCUAUAUUUUACCAACCUUUCAUGUACAUUUUCCUUCUCUCUUUCCAAAUUCCUACCCAAAUUAAUGAUCCAAAUGCAGUCUCCAGUAAUUAUACUAAACCUACAAAUGGAUGGAAAAUUUGGAAAUGAUGGGAAGGAUUUGCAAAUUUUGGUAACCAUAUUGACUCUCUCUCCAUUAAGGCUCUCAAGUUUAGUAUUUAAUUAAUUGAUUUUUAAAUAAUUGUACUAUGUACUGGGUUACUUAUUACUGGAAUGUUAGAGUCAGCUAAUGGGGCAGUGUUUUCAAGAAAAAUGGCAUCAGAACCGGUCAAUGUGAAUGAGUUCCAGGAAUUGGCAAGGCGAGCUCUUCUGAAGAUGUACUUUGACUUCUACAAUGGGGGAGCUGAGGACCAACACACGCUAAGAGAGAACACGGAAGCGUUCCUUAGAAUCACUUUUCGGCCAAGAGUUCUUGUAGAUGUGAGCAGAAUAGAUAUGUCAACCACUAUAUUGGGUUACCCAACUUCGGCACCAAUCAUGAUCGCUCCAACUGGAUUGCAUAAGUUGGCUCAUCCUGAAGGAGAGGUUGCGACAGCCAGAGCAGCUGCUGCAUGUAACACCAUCAUGGCAAUGUCCUUUGCGGCCGACUGCACCGUGGAGGAGGUUGCUUCCAGUUUCAAUGCCAUUCGCUUUUUUCAAACAUAUGUAUGUAAAAGAAGGGAUGUAACAGUUGUGUUAGUGCAAAGAGCCGAAAGAAAUGGGUUCAAGGCUAUUAUGCUUACUGUUGAUACUCCUAGGCUUGGUCGUAGGGAAGCAGACAUUAAGAACAAAAUGAUUGCGCCUCAGCAGAAGAACUUAGAAGGUCUCUUGUCAACUGAAGCAGUUUCGGAUAACGGCUCAAAGCUUGCAGCUUUUGCAGCAGAGACGCUUGAUCCUUCUCUGUGUUGGAAGGACAUAGACUGGUUAAAGUCAGUCACUAAUUUGCCAAUUCUAGUCAAAGGGGUCCUCACUGCUGAGGAUGCAAUAAAAGCUAUGGAAGUAGGGGUUGCUGGGAUUGUUGUCUCUAACCACGGAGCUCGCCAACUGGAUUAUUCUCCAGCCACUAUCACUGUUCUGGAAGAGAAUAUGUUUUCCGGAACAUAAGAUGGAGGUGGCGGGAUGAAGGUGGAGGUGGUGGCGUGGUGGUGGGGUGGUGGGGUGGCGGAGGUGGUGAUGUUGACAGUGAUGGUGACAGUGAUCGUGGAGGUGAUGGUGGCAGUCGUAGUGUGGGAUAUUGGUUAAACUUUAGUUCGAAAAAUAUUUUCUACAUUUGAAAGAUAAAUGGCAUCUGAACCAGUCAAUGUGAAUGAGUUCCAGGAACUGGCAAGGCAAGCCCUUCCAAACAUGUACUUUGACUUCUACAAUGGGCAGAGCUGAGGACAAACACACGCUAAGAAUGAAUGUGGAAGCAUUUUGCAGAAUCAUCUUUAAGUGUAACACCUCUUAUUCCUAUCAGCAAACAACCACACCAUUUUAAAUCACCUUUCUUUGAACUUUCUCAGUACUUUGUUGAGAAUUCUUGUAGAUGUGAGCAGAAUAGAUAUGUCAACUACUAUAUUUGGUUACCAUACUUCGGCACCAAUCAUGAUUGCUCCAGCUGCAAUGCAUAAAUUGGCUCAUCCUGAAGGUCUAAAUUCAGUUACAAGAGCUUUCGAGUGAAAUUUUUGUGUAGUUCUGCUAUCAGCUUUUUCUGUACCAGGAGAGAUCGCGACAACCCGAGCAGCAGCUUCACCUCAUGGUAUUUAAAAGAAGGAAUGUGAUAGCUCUGUUAGUGCAAAGAGCCGAGCAAAAUGGUUUCAAGGCUAUUAUUCUUACUGUUGAUGCUCCUAGGCUUGGUUGAAGAGAGGCAGACAUAAUGAAUAAGUGAAAUUUUAUUACUUUCUCUUCAAUGUCCUUCACAUUUUGUAACCUUUUAUCACCCUUAUAUUUGGAAACGGUUUGAUAUUUAGUAUCUAACAUUAUAAGAAUUUUUCCCCAUGCAUCAUGAUUCUAAUCCAAACACGAUCAUUCCAUACAGAAGGAUUGUGCCUCAGUUGAAGAACUGUGAAGGUCUCUACAAUUUGGUUUUUGACCACGUGUUUUGGGAUGCGUAUAUUCAUGAUCGCUCUUCCCAAAAACUAAAAA